Molecule: long non-coding RNA, 991 nt
Organism: Frieseomelitta varia
Lineage: Eukaryota; Metazoa; Arthropoda; Insecta; Hymenoptera; Apidae
Exons: 2
Source: RefSeq, a predicted model, not a curated record
CAUAAUGCGCGUAUGAAAAGAAUUUAUGUAUAUUAAAAUUUUUUCUAUUUAUCUUCGCGGUUAGGAAAUUUAUAUUUCCCUAUAAAUAUCUAUUGUUUCUUUUAACUUUAUAAUGUAAGACGAGCUUACUACGAUAAUUACAAACAUUCGUCCGAUUAGAAAGUAACAUAAAAUCAUUAGCUUAAAGUAAUUGAAACUAUGAAUUCUAAGAUAGCAUAGAUCCAGCAGUCAAUUGUUUUUAUUUAUCCUCUUUUAUUUAUUAUUAUUAUUAUUAUUAGUGAUCUUUUUUCUAAACUUAUUAUUUCAUUAGAUUGUGGAUGAAGAUGAAAUUCGCAAUGUAAGCCUCAAGAUGUGCUUCUUUAAAAAUAAUAUCAAUCAAAUUUCAAAAUAGAUCUCUAAAUUCGAUACAUUCUGUCCAAAUAAUUUUAUAAUUGUUACAAUUAAAAUCUUCAGUCGAUUAUCUUUGAUAAUUUUGGUUCAUAUUUAUACUUUCUGAUCUUCCUAAUUUUUCACGCGAAUGAUAGAUUGCCUGUUCUCCUAAUGUAGCUCUUGGAAUACUUAUAUUAGAAUCUUAUUUAAAGUUUCAAGUUUUAUGAAAAUCUAUUCGAAUUCAAUACUUUGAUAAAUAAUCUAACUUUUCCUCAUACGAUAUUAAAAUGUUAGAAUUCAUGGACUUAAUUCAUGUAUUUUAAUUAUUUAAAUUUGUACAAUUCAUAUGCUCCCCAAUAUAUUCGAUAUGUGUAACGUUUUACCUACUGACAAGACAGUUUCUCCUACGCUGUUAUAAAUAAAAAGAAUCGAAUACUUUCCUCGUAACCUUACGGUGGUCGUAAAAUUUAUUCACAUAUAAAAAUACCUUACAUGAGUAUCGAUAUUAUAUUAUAGCGGAAUAAACUCGUAAAUGUAACAUUGAGAAAUGUAAAUAUUCAGUUUCAAUUCGAAAGCUAGUAAUUUAUAAUUGUUAUAAAUAAAUUGUUUCACGAUAAUGUAA